This 121-nucleotide small RNA is filed under the name Streptomyces albireticuli. Its description in RNAcentral is "Streptomyces-metK RNA". It matches the Rfam family "Streptomyces-metK RNA". Lineage: Bacteria; Bacillati; Actinomycetota; Actinomycetes; Kitasatosporales; Streptomycetaceae. The record is from Rfam by way of RNAcentral.
GGGGAACCGGAUGCCCCAACCACGAGAACGCCGGAUAAACUGGCUCAGGAUCCGCGUCGAGCGCAGCUCUCGAACCGGGUCCUGCAAAUGAUCAGCCAGCAGCCGCUGCAACCCCAGGGAG